RNAcentral lists this ribosomal RNA (360 nucleotides) under uncultured bacterium. Its description in RNAcentral is "bacterial SSU rRNA". It matches the Rfam family "Bacterial small subunit ribosomal RNA", at positions 29 to 414 of the family's 1533-position model. The record is from RNAcentral.
AACGAACGCUGGCGGCAGGCUUAACACAUGCAAGUCGAACGGGUGUAGCAAUGCAUCAGUGGCAGACGGGUGAGUAACACGUGGGAACCUUCCUAGGGGUACGGAACAACUCAGGGAAACUUGAGCUAAUACCGUAUACGUCCGUAAGGAGAAAGAUUCAUCGCCCCUAGACGGGCCCGCGUCGGAUUAGGUAGUUGGUGGGGUAACGGCCUACCAAGCCUACGAUCCGUAGCUGAUCUGAGAGGAUGAUCAGCCACACUGGGACUGAGACACGGCCCAGACUCCUACGGGAGGCAGCAGUGGGGAAUCUUGGACAAUGGGCGCAAGCCUGAUCCAGCCAUGCCGCGUGAGUGAAGAAGG